RNAcentral lists this long non-coding RNA (2359 nucleotides) under Equus caballus (horse). RNAcentral's name for it is "lncRNA (ENSECAG00000048821.1)". Lineage: Eukaryota; Metazoa; Chordata; Mammalia; Perissodactyla; Equidae. The record is from RNAcentral.
AUUGGGUUCCUGGCCAGUGCUCUUUCUACCAUCAUGCAUUAUUGCAUGCUGCCCUUUCACUCACGUGGGCACCAGGAGACCUUUUUCUGACCAUACAGAUCUUUGAACAGCUCCAAUGAAAUAAUGCCAGAUGUGAAUGCUUUUUAAUCGAUGGGCUCUGAUCAUCACGAUACCAAAAUUCUGCACAUCUUUUGCAAAGCAAGGCUUGGCUCUCUGAAGCUUUCAUUUCUUCAUUUUCCCAAGAAAGAAUGUUAACCACUCCACUUCCUAGUUCCUCCACACCUGUCACUUGGGAACCAGACGAGAAGUUCUAAGAAGCCCUCAGAUCCUGCAGCCUGACUCUGGCUUGGAAAACCUCUGUCCAGAUCAGAGUGCCAAGGGGAGUGACCCAUCUUGGAUCCUGGACCUCAUCCACUUAGUUGGGAAAUCUUUCUGAUAAAUUCAGAGACCACACAAAGUCCUGAGGGCCUUCCUGUCGAUUUGAAUCCGCUCAAACUCCCAGGAGAUGAAAACAACUUCACUAGAUUGAGGGGACGUAGGAAUCACCUGGGGAUCUUGUUAAAAUGAGGAUUCUGAUUCAGAAGGUCUGGGGAGGGGCCUGAGAUUCUCCCAGGUGAGGCCAGUGCUGCUGGUCCAAGGACCACAUUUGCAGCAUCAAGGGGUUAUAGAACCACCUUCUGUCACUGCUCAUGGAUUUCCUACUCUGCUUUCUGGGGAUCUUGCCUGUUUUCACACCUUAUCCUUCUUUUCCUCUCUCCAUCCAUCCUUUUCUUGGCCAACUCAUUAUUCUGACCAGGCACCCCUACCAACUCCCAACCCUCCUCCAUUCAAGGAGAAAGAAACUCCUGCCCUUUUUUCCUCAGACUUUCAUCCCCUCCCCUCUUCCCUCAGCAGUGCCAGAAAAAUGAAAGUCAUCAUUUAUUGACAGUUGUGUGCCAAGCACUGUCCCAAAUGUGUUACCCAUAAUAUUUAAUUCUCGCAACAAUCCUACAAAGUAUAUAUUAUUAUUGUCAUUUUAGAAAUGAGAAAAUUGAAACUUAGGUAGUUAAAGAAACUCUGUCCUCAACUAGGGAGUAAUGAGUUGAGAUUAGAAUUUGAAUCUGUCUAACGUCAAAGUCUACAGGCUUUACACUACCUUAUGCUCAUGCAAGGUGAAAUAGUCUAGAAGUCAGCUGGUGGGAAUGCAUUGAGAAAAAAGGAUCACUCCAAGGAUCACUCCACUUAUUCAGCCUGUACAGUCCUCUGAACCCCUCUUAAGCAGAUAUUCUAUGGGACAGCCCGACAUAUGGAUAAUAAGAGCUAUUUUAGGAAUGCCCAGGUUAGCUGGAAUGGGACAGGAUUCCAAAUAGCAGAGUAGUAAUAUUAAAACCCAAACUUGCCAAUAUGCCCAAAUUUUCAAUGUAGCUCUUUAAUUAGACCCAUAACUGUACCAAUAGAGCCUAUUACCAAAAAAGAGAUUCCUAUGAUUAGCUAAUCACCCAACCACAUGGAGUCUAAAGGAUGGUGCCAAGUCUGCUAUCAGUCCGCAUAGGGUCCUCUUUGGAUGGGUAGCCAAUUCCCUUCUCUCUCUAGUCUCUCUUCCUUGACUCCACCUCUAACAUCCCCUUGGUCUCUGCCUGUUCUCAAGAUCUGACCUAAGUGUCCUGGCUUCCAACCUGGGAGCCUAUACCUGAUCUUAAAACCUUUGUGUCUUUCAGCUUCCUCAAACUACAGCAUCUACAAGACAAACGAAUCUUGCUUAUGUUGGCUAUCUCCCUCUCCUGACUUUUAUUGGGUGUACAAAAAAAAAAUCUCCCUUUAAUUCCUCCCAAAGAUCCUACAAGGUAUGAGGAGAGGAGAAAAGGCAAGGGGUAGGAAUGAGGAAAAUUCCAUCUUGAUGCAAAAAUUUAAAAGGUCUAUAUUCAUUCAAUGGAGAAGAGUCAGAAUUUUAAAAUAUAACAUAGACAAGGAAAUUAAGAGCAGUGUGCUGUGGGGAAAGGAGCCCUGGCCCAAGAGUCGUGAGAUUUGGGUUCUCAAUCCAUCUUUUCCACUAACUGGCUGUGCAACCUUGGAUAAACUGUAUCAUUUUUCUUGACAUCAGUUUCUCCAUCUUUAAAGUGAGAGGGUUGUAUUGAAUGAUUACUAAGAUUCCUUUGAUCUCUGCUUUUCAGCGUCUUCCCUAGCACCUAAAAUAAAAUGAACCUGGCAGUUUUUGUGAAAUAAUGUUGCAUCUAACCAGAAAUUUAGACACAAACUUGCUUGAGUCAAUGCAUGAAAACAAGAAGAUAAAGAAACAGUGAUUAAUAAUGAUAAAUGAAUAAUAAUGAUAAAAAUAAAAGACCAAAAACUUAAAAAAAGACAAAAAUGGCUGAUUCUAUAG